UACGUAGGGGGCUAGCGUUGUCCGGAUUUAUUGGGCGUAAAGAGCGUGUAGGCGGCCAGGUAGGUCCGGUGUGAAAACUCGAGGCUUAACCUCGAGAUGUCAUCGGAAACCAUCUGGCUAGAGUCCGGAAGAGGAAAGUGGAAUUCCUGGUGUAGCGGUGAAAUGCGCAGAUAUCAGGAAGAACACCAAUGGCGAAAGCAGCUUUCUGGGACGGUACUGACGCUAAGACGCGAAAGCGUGGGGAGCGAACAGG
This 253-nucleotide ribosomal RNA is filed under the name uncultured bacterium. Its description in RNAcentral is "partial 16S ribosomal RNA". It matches the Rfam family "Bacterial small subunit ribosomal RNA", at positions 524 to 776 of the family's 1533-position model. The record is from RNAcentral.